UGAACGCUAGCGGCAGGCUUAAUACAUGCAAGUCGAACGGCAGCACGGGUAGCAAUAUCUGGUGCGAGUGGCGGCGACGGGUGCGUAACACGUAUGCAACCUUCCUUCAACUGGAGAAUAGCUCACCGAAAGGUGAAUUAAUACUCCAUAAUAUUCGAGAGUGGCAUCACUUUCCAAUUAAAGUUCAGACGGUUGAAGAUGGGCAUGCGGAACAUUAGCUUGUUGGCGGGGUAACGGCCCACCAAGGCUACGAUGUUUAGGGGAUCUGAGAGGAUUAACCCCCCACACUGGUACUGAGACACGGACCAGACUCCUACGGGAGGCAGCAGUAAGGAAUAUUGGACAAUGGGCGCAAGCCUGAUCCAGCCAUGCCGCGUGCAGGAUGACGGCCCUAUGGGUUGUAAACUGCUUUUAUACGGGAAAAACCCCUCUACGUGUAGAGGGUUGAUGGUACCGUAAGAAUAAGGAUCGGCUAACUCCGUGCCAGCCG
This 490-nucleotide ribosomal RNA is filed under the name uncultured bacterium. Its description in RNAcentral is "bacterial SSU rRNA". It matches the Rfam family "Bacterial small subunit ribosomal RNA", at positions 30 to 514 of the family's 1533-position model. The record is from RNAcentral.